Long non-coding RNA from Populus trichocarpa (black cottonwood), 627 nucleotides. RefSeq lists it as uncharacterized. The transcript is spliced from 3 exons. The record is from RefSeq and is a predicted model, not a curated record. NCBI's taxonomy places the organism in Eukaryota, Viridiplantae, Streptophyta, Magnoliopsida, Malpighiales, Salicaceae.
UUAGCUUUCUCCACUGUUAUUCAAUCUCUUGGUCGGUCAACCUUUUGCUUUGAAGUACUCUCUCUCUCUUACAACUCCAUAAAUUUGAUCUCAAGACACUGAUCAUACUCUCAACACAAUAUUCUUUUGUGCUCAUCUUUGGAUCAGCUAUUUUGGGUCAUCCUUCAUCAGCUAUAUAUGGCGGAAUCCGGUGAGAAUCCCUUGUACAGCUGCAGGAAUUGCAGAAAUCCUCUUGCCUUCAGUACGGAUCUCUUAUCCAAAUCUUAUCAGGCAAGAUCAGGACAGGCAUAUAUGUUUUCUCAUGUGAUGAACAUUGUUUUGGGACAUAAAAAAGACAUGAAGAUGAUAACUGGGAUGUACACAAUUGCUGGUAUCCACUGCAGCAGUUGUGGUCAGGAGCUGGGCUGGAAAUAUGUGAGAGCUUUUGAUCCAACACAGAGGUUCAAGGAAGGGAAUUUCAUACUUGAGAAAUUGAAGCUUGUGAAGGAAUAUUAGAUAUUCACACCUACAAGACUCAUUUCAAGAGAGAUUCAUGUUCUAAAUGCCUCAUAUGAUGAGGAUAUGUGUUAUUUGCUAUUGAGACUAUGUUUGUGUUUGAUUAAUGUUAUGUGAAAUACUCGAAAAUAA